Long non-coding RNA from Vespula pensylvanica (western yellowjacket), 676 nucleotides. RefSeq lists it as uncharacterized. The transcript has 4 exons. The record is from RefSeq and is a predicted model, not a curated record. Lineage: Eukaryota; Metazoa; Arthropoda; Insecta; Hymenoptera; Vespidae.
CGCAGAAGUGAGAACAUCUAGGAAUAUUCUCAAGCAGUUUAAAAUGUUUAAUUUGCCAGCUCUUCUUCGAAUUCACGAGGACGAGGACGAGGACAAUGAAGAACGGGAAGCACGUCACGAAGGCUAACCGUGCAACGUCGUACCAGUACUAAUACUAUGCAGUUCGAGUCGUUCCACACAUCCGUACUACACGAUGGUGUUGACACGCAAAGAGUUUUAAGGGGCUUCCCGUGUGUCGUUGAACGCGAGAAUGGAAAGGUUUCUACGACGGAAGAGUACACGCUUGAAAAAAGACAGAUAUAUCGAGGCACGAUCACAAUCGAUUCGAAUCGAAUGGGUGACCGUUUGAAGGCGUCGUCACAGACAAUUUAACACCUGAGACACUUAAAUGGUUUGUUAACGCAUAAUAAUAUCGUUCGUUCGUUCAUUCGUUCGGUCUCAAACAGGAUACGGGACAUUACAAUAUGGAAAUACAGUGCUACCCACGUAACUGAGCCUGUCAUUGAAGAGGUGAACGCCAGAAGAGAGAAGCACUCGAGUGCGGCCAAUUUGUUCGUUACUCUUGCUUUCGUUAAUAACCCAUAAGUAUAGUCAUGGUCAUGGUAAACUGCACUUUACAAUCGUUUACGAAAUUUAUACCGAACGUACAACAAACUUCCUUUCCUUUCCUUUCGUU